UUGUUGCCUCGGCGGAUCAGCCCGCUCCCGGUAAAACGGGACGGCCCGCCAGAGGACCCCUAAACUCUGUUUCUAUAUGUAACUUCUGAGUAAAACCAUAAAUAAAUCAAAACUUUCAACAACGGAUCUCUUGGUUCUGGCAUCGAUGAAGAACGCAGCAAAAUGCGAUAAGUAAUGUGAAUUGCAGAAUUCAGUGAAUCAUCGAAUCUUUGAACGCACAUUGCGCCCGCCAGUAUUCUGGCGGGCAUGCCUGUUCGAGCGUCAUUUCAACCCUCAAGCCCUCGGGUUUGGUGUUGGGGAUCGGCGAGCCCUUGCGGCAAGCCGGCCCCGAAAUCUAGUGGCGGUCUCGCUGCAGCUUCCAUUGCGUAGUAGUAAAACCCUCGCAACUGGUACGCGGCGCGGCCAAGCCGUUAAACCCCCAACUUCUGAAUGUUGACCUCGGAUCAGGUAGGAAUACCCGCUGAACUUAAGCAUAUA
This 477-nucleotide ribosomal RNA is filed under the name Fusarium verticillioides. RNAcentral's name for it is "eukaryotic LSU rRNA". The stretch from base 111 to 264 matches the Rfam family "5.8S ribosomal RNA". Lineage: Eukaryota; Fungi; Ascomycota; Sordariomycetes; Hypocreales; Nectriaceae. The record is from RNAcentral.